This 497-nucleotide ribosomal RNA is filed under the name uncultured bacterium. RNAcentral describes it as "partial 16S ribosomal RNA". It matches the Rfam family "Bacterial small subunit ribosomal RNA", at positions 28 to 507 of the family's 1533-position model. The record is from RNAcentral.
GAUGAACGCUGGCGGCGUGCCUAAUACAUGCAAGUCGAGCGAACAGACGAGGAGCUUGCUCCUCUGACGUUAGCGGCGGACGGGUGAGUAACACGUGGAUAACCUACCUAUAAGACUGGGAUAACUUCGGGAAACCGGAGCUAAUACCGGAUAAUAUAUUGAACCGCAUGGUUCAAUAGUGAAAGACGGUUUUGCUGUCACUUAUAGAUGGAUCCGCGCUGCAUUAGCUAGUUGGUAAGGUAACGGCUUACCAAGGCAGCGAUGCGUAGACGACCUGAGAGCGUGAUCACACACACAGGAAGAGAGACACGGUCAAGACUACUGCGAGAGGCAGCAGUCGGGAAUCUUACGCAAGGAGGGAAAGCGUGACGGAGCAACGCAGCGUGAGUGAUGAAGGUCUUCGGAUCGUAAAACUCUGUAAUUAGGGAAGAACAAAUGUGUAAGUACCUAUGAACGUCUUGACGGUACCUAAUCAGAAAGCCACGGCUAACUACGUG